UGCAGUCGAGCGAACAGACGAGGAGCUUGCUCCUUUGACGUUAGCGGCGGACGGGUGAGUAACACGUAGGUAACCUACCUAUAAGACUGGGAUAACUUCGGGAAACCGGAGCUAAUACCGGAUAAUAUUUCGAACCGCAUGGUUCGAUAGUGAAAGAUGGCUUUGCUAUCACUUAUAGAUGGACCUGCGCCGUAUUAGCUAGUUGGUAAGGUAACGGCUUACCAAGGCAACGAUACGUAGCCGACCUGAGAGGGUGAUCGGCCACACUGGAACUGAGACACGGUCCAGACUCCUACGGGAGGCAGCAGUAGGGAAUCUUCCGCAAUGGGCGAAAGCCUGACGGAGCAACGCCGCGUGAGUGAUGAAGGUCUUCGGAUCGUAAAACUCUGUUAUUAGGGAAGAACAAACGUGUAAGUAACUGUGCACGUCUUGACGGUACCUAAUCAGAAAGCCACGGCUAACUACGUGCCAGCAGCCGCGGUAAUACGUAGGUGGCAAGCGUUAUCCGGAAUUAUUGGGCGUAAAGCGCGCGUAGGCGGUUUUUUAAGUCUGAUGUGAAAGCCCACGGCUCAACCGUGGAGGGUCAUUGGAAACUGGAAAACUUGAGUGCAGAAGAGGAAAGUGGAAUUCCAUGUGUAGCGGUGAAAUGCGCAGAGAUAUGGAGGAACACCAGUGGCGAAGGCGACUUUCUGGUCUGUAACUGACGCUGAUGUGCGAAAGCGUGGGGAUCAAACAGGAUUAGAUACCCUGGUAGUCCACGCCGUAAACGAUGAGUGCUAAGUGUUA
This 786-nucleotide ribosomal RNA is filed under the name Staphylococcus hominis. Its description in RNAcentral is "bacterial SSU rRNA". It matches the Rfam family "Bacterial small subunit ribosomal RNA", at positions 56 to 825 of the family's 1533-position model. The record is from RNAcentral. Lineage: Bacteria; Bacillati; Bacillota; Bacilli; Caryophanales; Staphylococcaceae.